RNAcentral lists this long non-coding RNA (1663 nucleotides) under Homo sapiens (human). Its description in RNAcentral is "HSALNT0356357". The record is from RNAcentral. Lineage: Eukaryota; Metazoa; Chordata; Mammalia; Primates; Hominidae.
AAUAAUUCCCGGUUGCCAUUUUCUGACAUUUGAAAAGAUCUGAAGAUACGCCCCUUGGAUGCCUGCAGAGAAGCUCUGGGGCUUCAGUCAAUGACUCAGGGUAGCCACCGAACAUGAUGCUCGGGCAGUGGGUGCCACCUGGACUCCACUCUCCCCUCUCUCUGGGAUCAUAGAGUCCAAGGUGUUCUGUGGCCUCUCGGCCAAUCCCAGCAGCUCAGCGUGCAGAAGACCGAGGAGCCAUUGGAAUUCAACACAACACGAAAUAAUCAACAAAUUCGGGGAAUGUUAAUCUGACCAUCACCAGUUACAAAUGAUGUUUCAUGCUACCUUCUAUUCCUGCCUUCAUAAAUCAAGCUCUAAAUCUCCAGGAAAAAAUGUGCUCAGGAUGGCCAGAGAAAUGUCCUUCCAACUGUGCAUGGAAAGGUAUGAUUUUGUGCAGCAGGUGAAGGACUGGUUAGAGUAAGUGUGUGCUGAGCUUUUGUGUUUGAAAGCGAGCCUGUGCACUUCUAACGAUUGGAAGGUUUCCUUGCCUUCUCCGAUCUUACACACAGCAAGGACAGCAAAGCCUUCCAGACCUGCCUGUGACAUGCACUGCACAUUCUAAAGAUGCCUAUGCAAUGGAAAACACCACUGUCUGCUCCAGCACAGCUGCCAUUCUUCCAUCUUAUCGACCUUAAUGCAACAACUCCUCACAGGCAGAGAUUUUAAAAUGUGUUCUUGGCAGAAGAGAGACUCAAAGAUGGGACAAAUGUGUCAUUUAAAUGCCUGUUAAAAUGGAAACAGACAUAGUAUAGUCAGAGGAUUGUGGCAGCUAAGAACAUAGUCUCUGGAGCAAAUCUGCAUGGGUGGCAAUGCCAAGCACAUGAGGUCCUAGUUGUAUGAACUUAGGAAAAGAAAAAGAGAACAUAUAUCCCCCUACCUUUUGAUUUCCAACAGUCUACUGAGAGGCCAAGAUUAUUUGCAGGGAAAGAAAAGGGGAAUGCCAUCCCCACCCUCUCGCAGCUACGUGCCAGUUCCAGAGCACCUGUUCCCCUCUACUUUGAAAAGGUCAAAAUGUUUUGCCAGUAACUCCCAAAUCAUCUACAGCCAAGGAGAAAAGUGUUUCAAGACAGAGGUGCUCAAUGGUAUCAAAUACUGCCAACAGACCAAGUAAUACAUGCAUUGAAGUGUCUACUGGAUCUAGCUAUAUGAAUUUUUAAUUUAGGACACUUAGGCCAUACUGAAGCAAGGUGACAAAAUGAAUAGCUACAAUGUCUCGUGAAUCUUGGGUUUCCAUUCACCCUGGUAUUCAAGAGAAAUUCUUGCAUCAUGGAAGUUGCAGUUGGAUAGGACUUUCUCAGCUGAACACUGUCAUCUGCCAGAGCUUCAGGCAAGAACCCAGAACAGAUGAAACCCCAGACAUGACAAAAUAAGCCAAAGAAUACCAGGCCAAGGUGUGAAAGGCCAGAUGAGAACAAGCAGCGUACACGAUUCUGUUGCCAACAGAUCUCCCCUAACAGUGUCGUGCACCAAAUUUCCACAGUGAAUGUCAGGAAAAAAUGGCAAUUGAGGUGGGUGGUCAAAAGAGAAGCACAGUCUAUGAUGAAGUCACCCCAGAGAAGUCCUUUUUCCGUUUUCUCCUGAGAAAUUACCAGAAGAAAUUAAAAUCCUUUUGAGUAUUGCA